UGCCAUUGAGGUGAUGAAGGCAAAGCCUUA
Molecule: non-coding RNA, 30 nt
Filed under: Homo sapiens (human)
Lineage: Eukaryota; Metazoa; Chordata; Mammalia; Primates; Hominidae
Source: RNAcentral